This 253-nucleotide ribosomal RNA is filed under the name uncultured bacterium. Its description in RNAcentral is "partial 16S ribosomal RNA". It matches the Rfam family "Bacterial small subunit ribosomal RNA", at positions 524 to 776 of the family's 1533-position model. The record is from RNAcentral.
UACGGGGGGAGCAAGCGUUGUUCGGAUUUACUGGGCGUAAAGGGCGCGUAGGCGGCCCUCCUAGUCGCGUGUGAAAGCCCCGGGCUCAACCUGGGAACGGCGCGCGAAACGGGGGGGCUAGGGUCCGGAAGAGGAGAGUGGAAUUCCCGGUGUAGCGGUGAAAUGCGCAGAUAUCGGGAAGAACACCCGUGGCGAAGGCGGCUCUCUGGGACGGUACCGACGCUGAGACGCGAAAGCGUGGGGAGCGAACAGG